This 253-nucleotide ribosomal RNA is filed under the name uncultured bacterium. RNAcentral's name for it is "partial 16S ribosomal RNA". It matches the Rfam family "Bacterial small subunit ribosomal RNA", at positions 524 to 776 of the family's 1533-position model. The record is from RNAcentral.
UACAGAGGUCUCAAGCGUUGUUCGGAUUCAUUGGGCGUAAAGGGUGCGUAGGCGGCUUUAUAAGUCGGGGGUGAAAGCCUGUGGCUCAACCACAGAAUUGCCUUCGAUACUGUAGAGCUUGAGACCGGAAGAGGUAAGUGGAACUGCGAGUGUAGAGGUGAAAUUCGUAGAUAUUCGCAAGAACACCAGUGGCGAAGGCGGCUUACUGGUCCGGUUCUGACGCUGAGGCGCGAAAGCGUGGGGAGCAAACAGG